ACCGGGGCUAAUACCGAAUAUUGAAACAUAAGUGGCAUCACUGAGUUUUGAAAGAAUUUCGGUGGAGGAUGACUUCGCGGCCUAUCAGCUUGUUGGUGAGGUAAUGGCUCACCAAGGCGACGACGGGUAGCCGGCCUGAGAGGGCGACCGGCCACACUGGGACUGAGACACGGCCCAGACUCCUACGGGAGGCAGCAGUGGGGAAUAUUGGGCAAUGGACGAAAGUCUGACCCAGCGACGCCGCGUGCGGGAUGAAGGCCUUCGGGUUGUAAACCGCUUUCAGCAGGGAAGAAGCGAAAGUGACGGUACCUGCAAAAGAAGCACCGGCUAACUAUGUGCCAGCAGCCGCGGUAAUACAUAGGGUGCAAGCGUUGUCCGGAAUUAUUGGGCGUAAAGAGCUCGUAGGUCGUUAGUUACGUCGGGUGUGAAAAUCUGGGGCUCAACCCCAGACCUGCACUCGAUACGGGCUAGCUAGAGUUUGGUAGGGGAGACUGGAAUUCCUGGUGUAGCGGUGGAAUGCGCAGAUAUCAGGAGGAACACCAAUGGCGAAGGCAGGUCUCUGGGCCAAUACUGACACUGAGGAGCGAAAGCGCGGGGAGCGAACAGGAUUAGAUACCCUGGUAGUCCGCGCCGUAAACGAUGGGCGCUAGUUGUGGGGACCUUCCACGGUCUCUGCGACGCAGCUAACGCAUUAAGCGCCCCGCCUGGGGAGUACGAUCGCAAGAUUAAAACUCAAAGGAAUUGACGGGGCCCCGCACAAGCA
RNAcentral lists this ribosomal RNA (763 nucleotides) under uncultured bacterium. RNAcentral describes it as "bacterial SSU rRNA". It matches the Rfam family "Bacterial small subunit ribosomal RNA", at positions 156 to 931 of the family's 1533-position model. The record is from RNAcentral.